CCUUUCACCCGCUGAAUUUAAGCAUAUCAGUAAGCGGAGGAAAAGAAACUAACCAGGAUUCUCCCAGUAACGGCGAGUGAACGGAGAUUAGCCCAUCACCGAAGUCUAUUCGCUCUUGUGAACAAGACAAUGUGGUGUUGAAGCUUGUACCUGGGAGCGCUUGCCUACUCGAAGUCCGACUCCGAUUACGGCUAGGACUAUGCCCACAGCGGGUGAAAGGCCCGUACGGGUAGGCUGUGUUGUUAUUAAGUGCUCCCCAGAUGUGCAUGCUUUCGAGUCGGAUUGCUUGAGAAUGCAGUCCAAAAAUACGUGGUAAACUCCAAGCAUGUUGAAAAU
RNAcentral lists this ribosomal RNA (336 nucleotides) under Dactylogyrus sp. 5 RRS-2013. RNAcentral describes it as "eukaryotic LSU rRNA". It matches the Rfam family "Eukaryotic large subunit ribosomal RNA", at positions 23 to 323 of the family's 3401-position model. The record is from RNAcentral. Lineage: Eukaryota; Metazoa; Platyhelminthes; Monogenea; Dactylogyridea; Dactylogyridae.